This is a non-coding RNA of Nylanderia fulva, 706 nucleotides long. NCBI's taxonomy places the organism in Eukaryota, Metazoa, Arthropoda, Insecta, Hymenoptera, Formicidae. The record is from RefSeq and is a predicted model, not a curated record.
UGGUCGGAAACAGAUAAUAUGCGGCUGAUAAGAGAAAACCGACAUCAGCCUACAAUCGGAAGUCGUCAUGUAUCCAAAUCAGUUUAAGUAGUCCAGAAGAAAGCUACUUAUUUAGUCUACUAACAAUAAGUUGAAUAGGCCAUGUUCUUUGCAUUAGUGUAGUGUUAAUAUUUUGCACAGUUUAUUUCUAUUCGUUUUGCAAUUUUACAUUGUGUUACAUCGUGAAUUAAAGAGAGAAGAAAAUAAAACAAUUAGAACGAAAUGGUGCUGAACAAAUUUGCAACCGUAUUUUGGCGGAGGUCCUCAUCUUACCGAUUGUUCUCGAGGCUCGUUUUCAUAAUAGGUACGAUUUUUACAGACAGUAUUAUGAUGAGAAUAUUAAUAACGAGCGAGUGAGAUUUCCGAUGAAAAACUCCGAAGAAUCGAAUUACGAUCAUAAUAUAAAAACAGAAACAAAUUCGCGUUUGAAAGAUGACAAGCGUACGAUCUUCGAUAGUAGUUUUGUAUUUCCGAAUGAUGGGCUGCAAUUGCGAAAUGACGAUGAUAGUUACAUAGAUGAUAUGAUCGAUUCAUUGUCACAGGCAAAUUGCGAUCACAAGAUGCAAACCUUUUGCGAAGAUGUCCCGAAUUAUCCCGCAAAAAUUGUGCAUCAAGCACUCGUGAGGAAUGCCAGCUUAUUGCAUUAUGCAAACGAGGAUGUUGUUAG